RNAcentral lists this ribosomal RNA (500 nucleotides) under uncultured bacterium. RNAcentral's name for it is "partial 16S ribosomal RNA". It matches the Rfam family "Bacterial small subunit ribosomal RNA", at positions 30 to 523 of the family's 1533-position model. The record is from RNAcentral.
AUUGAACGCUGGCGGCAUGCUUUACACAUGCAAGUCGAACGGUAACAGGGUGCUUGCACCGCUGACGAGUGGCGAACGGGUGAGUAAUGCGUCGGAACGUGCCGAGUAGUGGGGGAUAACGCAGCGAAAGUUGUGCUAAUACCGCAUACGUACUGAGGUAGAAAGUGGGGGACCUUCGGGCCUCACGCUAUUCGAGCGGCCGACGUCUGAUUAGCUAGUAGGUGAGGUAAAGGCUCACCUAGGCGACGAUCAGUAGCGGGUCUGAGAGGAUGAUCCGCCACACUGGGACUGAGACACGGCCCAGACUCCUACGGGAGGCAGCAGUGGGGAAUUUUGGACAAUGGGCGAAAGCCUGAUCCAGCCAUGCCGCGUGUCUGAAGAAGGCCUUCGGGUUGUAAAGGACUUUUGUCGGGGAGGAAAUCCCCAGCGUUAAUACCGCUGGGGGAUGACAGUACCUGAAGAAUAAGCACCGGCUAACUACGUGCCAGCCGCCGCCGUAA